AUGGCGCUCGAAGGAGGACCUUGGGAAUUUGGAAAUGAUUUACUCGUCUUUGAGGAUUUCGUAGCAAGUAAGCGUCCGGAGGAUUAUGCGUUUGACUCCAUCCCGAUCUGGGUUAGGGUUUUGCGCCUUCCGCUAGGAAUGAUGUGUAGGGAGGCAGGGGAGGCAAUUGGGGCAGAGAUAGGUGAAGUCUUGGAAGUGGAUGCACAGGCGGAUGGCAGGGCGGUUGGCAAGUUCCUGAGGGUAAAGGUUCGGAUGAAUAUCAAGGCUCCUUUGAUGAGAGGGUUUAUACCGGAUGAGGAAGAAGCGAAGGAUAACAAUGGUAAGGCGAUGGUGGUGGAGCCGGCAAGGGAGGUAGAUGAAGAGAAGAAUUGGUGCCCGUUUGAGUAUGAAUAUCUGCCAGGCUUCUGUUAUGUGUGCGGAAUCAUUGGGCACACUGAUAAAUCGUGUGGUCUAAAGCUGAAAAGGGGGGAGCAGCGGCAGUUUGGGCCCUGGCUGCGGGCUUUCCUCCCACGUAAGGCUGGUGGUGAUACUCGAAGCAAAUGGGGUGAGAGCAGAGCGGGGGCGAGUGGGCGGAGUCUGGGUAUCAAGAAUAGCGGUGCUUGGGAGAGGAGAGCCUACUCUGGCAGUGAUGCCCCCUCUUGGAGGAAAAAUAACGAGAGUUGGGGGGAGAUUGCAGAAGAGGAGAGGGUCCAAGAGGUUACCAGCCCACUCAAAAAGUUGGACACAGGGGGAAGAGGAGGAGCAGCCAAAAGGUUGACAUAUGCAGAAGAUGAGAAGAAGGUUUCAGAGGGAGAAAGGGAGGCGGGGCAAGGAGCUGGUAGGGAUGGCAAGAAUAGCAUGGGGUGA
RNAcentral lists this ribosomal RNA (846 nucleotides) under Triticum aestivum (bread wheat). RNAcentral's name for it is "partial small subunit ribosomal RNA". The record is from RNAcentral. Lineage: Eukaryota; Viridiplantae; Streptophyta; Magnoliopsida; Poales; Poaceae.